GAUGAACGCUAGCGGCAGGCUUAAUACAUGCAAGGCGAAGGGGCAGCAAUGUCACUGUCGUACGGGUGCGUAACGCGUAUGCAACCUACCUAUCACUGGGGGAUAGCCCGGGGGAAACCCGGAUUAAUACCGCAUAACACAGGGGCUCCACAUGGAGAUAUUUGUUAAAGAUUUAUCGGUGGUAGAUGGGCAUGCGUUCG
This 200-nucleotide ribosomal RNA is filed under the name uncultured bacterium. RNAcentral's name for it is "partial 16S ribosomal RNA". It matches the Rfam family "Bacterial small subunit ribosomal RNA", at positions 28 to 239 of the family's 1533-position model. The record is from RNAcentral.